Molecule: ribosomal RNA, 497 nt
Filed under: uncultured bacterium
Lineage: Bacteria
Description: partial 16S ribosomal RNA
Rfam family: Bacterial small subunit ribosomal RNA
Source: RNAcentral
GAUGAACGCUGGCGGCGUGCCUAAUACAUGCCAGUCGAGCGAACAGACGAGGAGCUUGCUCCUCUGACGUUAGCGGCGGACGGGUGAGUAACACGUGGAUAACCUACCUAUAAGACUGGGAUAACUUCGGGAAACCGGAGCUAAUACCGGAUAACAUGUUGAACCGCAUGGUUCAACAGUGAAAGACGGUCUUGCUGUCACUUAUAGAUGGAUCCGCGCCGCAUUAGCUAGUUGGUAAGGUAACGGCUUACCAAGGCAACGAUGCGUAGCCGACCUGAGAGGGUGAUCGGCCACACUGGAACUGAGACACGGUCCAGACUCCUACGGGAGGCAGCAGUAGGGAAUCUUCCGCAAUGGGCGAAAGCCUGACGGAGCAACGCCGCGUGAGUGAAGAAGGUCUUCGGAUCGUAAAACUCUGUUAUUAGGGAAGAACAAAUGUGUAAGUAACUAUGCACGUCUUGACGGUACCUAAUCAGAAAGCAACGGCUAACUACGUG